Molecule: ribosomal RNA, 1465 nt
Filed under: uncultured Citrobacter sp.
Lineage: Bacteria; Pseudomonadati; Pseudomonadota; Gammaproteobacteria; Enterobacterales; Enterobacteriaceae
Description: bacterial SSU rRNA
Rfam family: Bacterial small subunit ribosomal RNA
Source: RNAcentral
AUUGAACGCUGGCGGCAGGCCUAACACAUGCAAGUCGAACGGUAACAGGAAGCAGCUUGCUGCUUCGCUGACGAGUGGCGGACGGGUGAGUAAUGUCUGGGAAACUGCCCGAUGGAGGGGGAUAACUACUGGAAACGGUAGCUAAUACCGCAUAACGUCGCAAGACCAAAGAGGGGGACCUUCGGGCCUCUUGCCAUCGGAUGUGCCCAGAUGGGAUUAGCUUGUUGGUGAGGUAACGGCUCACCAAGGCGACGAUCCCUAGCUGGUCUGAGAGGAUGACCAGCCACACUGGAACUGAGACACGGUCCAGACUCCUACGGGAGGCAGCAGUGGGGAAUAUUGCACAAUGGGCGCAAGCCUGAUGCAGCCAUGCCGCGUGUAUGAAGAAGGCCUUCGGGUUGUAAAGUACUUUCAGCGGGGAGGAAGGGGUUAAGGUUAAUAACCUUAGCCAUUGACGUUACCCGCAGAAGAAGCACCGGCUAACUCCGUGCCAGCAGCCGCGGUAAUACGGAGGGUGCAAGCGUUAAUCGGAAUUACUGGGCGUAAGGCGCACGCAGGCGGUCUGUCAAGUCGGAUGUGAAAUCCCCGGGCUCAACCUGGGAACUGCAUUCGAAACUGGCAGGCUUGAGUCUCGUAGAGGGGGGUAGAAUUCCAGGUGUAGCGGUGAAAUGCGUAGAGAUCUGGAGGAAUACCGGUGGCGAAGGCGGCCCCCUGGACGAAGACUGACGCUCAGGUGCGAAAGCGUGGGGAGCAAACAGGAUUAGAUACCCUGGUAGUCCACGCCGUAAACGAUGUCUAUUUGGAGGUUGUGCCCUUGAGGCGUGGCUUCCGGAGCUAACGCGUUAAAUAGACCGCCUGGGGAGUACGGCCGCAAGGUUAAAACUCAAAUGAAUUGACGGGGGCCCGCACAAGCGGUGGAGCAUGUGGUUUAAUUCGAUGCAACGCGAAGAACCUUACCUGGUCUUGACAUCCACAGAAUUUCUCAGAGAUGAGGAAGUGCCUUCGGGAACUGUGAGACAGGUGCUGCAUGGCUGUCGUCAGCUCGUGUUGUGAAAUGUUGGGUUAAGUCCCGCAACGAGCGCAACCCUUAUCCUUUGUUGCCAACGAUUCGGUCGGGAACUCAAAGGAGACUGCCAGUGAUAAACUGGAGGAAGGUGGGGAUGACGUCAAGUCAUCAUGGCCCUUACGACCAGGGCUACACACGUGCUACAAUGGCAUAUACAAAGAGAAGCGACCUCGCGAGAGCAAGCGGACCUCAUAAAGUAUGUCGUAGUCCGGAUUGGAGUCUGCAACUCGACUCCAUGAAGUCGGAAUCGCUAGUAAUCGUGGAUCAGAAUGCCACGGUGAAUACGUUCCCGGGCCUUGUACACACCGCCCGUCACACCAUGGGAGUGGGUUGCAAAAGAAGUAGGUAGCUUAACCUUCGGGAGGGCGCUUACCACUUUGUGAUUCAUGACUGGGGUGA